Molecule: ribosomal RNA, 253 nt
Filed under: uncultured bacterium
Lineage: Bacteria
Description: partial 16S ribosomal RNA
Rfam family: Archaeal small subunit ribosomal RNA
Source: RNAcentral
UACCAGCACCCCGAGUGGUCGGGACGUUUAUUGGGCCUAAAGCAUCCGUAGCCGGUUCUACAAGUCUUCCGUUAAAUCCACCUGCUUAACAGAUGGGCUGCGGAAGAUACUAUAGAGCUAGGAGGCGGGAGAGGCAAGCGGUACUCGAUGGGUAGGGGUAAAAUCCGUUGAUCCAUUGAAGACCACCAGUGGCGAAGGCGGCUUGCCAGAACGCGCUCGACUGUGAGGGAUGAAAGCUGGGGGAGCAAACCGG